Long non-coding RNA from Neltuma alba, 94 nucleotides. RefSeq lists it as uncharacterized. The transcript is spliced from 4 exons. The record is from RefSeq and is a predicted model, not a curated record. NCBI's taxonomy places the organism in Eukaryota, Viridiplantae, Streptophyta, Magnoliopsida, Fabales, Fabaceae.
UUUUGCACACAAAACUGCCAGUGGAUGUUGAAGAAGUACUUCAGAACCUACUCCAUCGUGAUCACCAAACUUCCCAUAUAAUUUGUUUAACUUU